UAGACGAGACUCAAGUAAGACUUUAGAUAAAUAAAAUUUACUUAGUUGGACAGGGAAGGGAAAUUUAUUGUAGAUCCUUGGGUAGAAUCUCUAAAUUUGCUUAAAAACCUCUUCCCCUACAGUUGGAAUUUAACAACCCAGGUAAGAAACCAGGAUUAGAUACCCUGUUAUUCUGGGUAAUAAUUAACUGGGGUAGUAAAAGCUGUGCUUCAAACCCAAAGGUUUUGGCGGCAUUUUAUCCGGACAGAGGAGCUUGCCCUGUAAUUGAUAAUCCUCAUUAUACCUUACUUUGCCUUGUAAAGCUUGUAUACCUCCGUUGACAGAUUACCUCAAAAGAGAGUUUUCAGUAAGAAUAAUUUCAAGACUUCAGGUCAAGGUGCAGCCUAUGGCAAAGCAGAGGUGAGCUACAAUUCUAAUUAAGAAAUACGGAUGCUUAGUGAAAUUAAGCGGAAGGUGGAUUUGUUAGUAAUUAGAAUUAAGAAUCUUUUACUGAACGAAGGCAAUAAAAUGUGCACAUAUCGCCCGUCACUCUCCUUUUAAGAGGAGAUAAGUCGUAACAUA
RNAcentral lists this ribosomal RNA (561 nucleotides) under Scapholeberis sp. JKC-2005. RNAcentral's name for it is "partial 12S ribosomal RNA". The record is from RNAcentral. Lineage: Eukaryota; Metazoa; Arthropoda; Branchiopoda; Diplostraca; Daphniidae.